Molecule: RNA transcript, 1329 nt
Organism: Phragmites australis (common reed)
Lineage: Eukaryota; Viridiplantae; Streptophyta; Magnoliopsida; Poales; Poaceae
Gene name: large ribosomal subunit protein uL15c-like
Exons: 5
Source: RefSeq, a predicted model, not a curated record
AACAGAGACGGCGGCCCAUCGUCUCCAUCUUAUCUCCCUCCGAAACCCCCAGUCCUUCUAUCCACACCCGCAAGCCGCGCACGCGCGCCAUCCGCUCCGACGCCAGCCAUGGCUUCCAUCACCCUCCUCUCUCUCGCUCCCACCACCACCUUCCUCCACAUCCCGGCCUCCGCUGCCGCCCCCGGGGCCCUCACCAGCCGCCGGGCCGCGCCCCGCGCCCUCCCGCUCCGCGCGCGCCCGCCCCGCCGCGUCACCGUCGUCUGCAGCGGCGCCGCGGCGACAGCCGAGGCUUCGGAUGCGGCGCCCGCGGAGAAGUUCCGGCUCGACAACCUGAGCCCGCAGAAGGGCUCGCGACGGCGGCCCAAGCGGAAGGGGCGCGGUAUCGCGGCGGGCCAGGGCGCGAGCUGCGGGUUCGGGAUGCGAGGACAGAAGUCGCGCUCGGGGCCCGGCGUCCGGCGCGGGUUCGAGGGAGGGCAGAUGCCGCUCUACCGCCGUAUCCCCAAGCUUCGUGGCAUUGCCGGCGGAAUGCACAUUGGGCUGCCGAAGUAUGUGCCAUUCAAUUUAAAAGACAUAGUACGUGGUGGGUUCAAGGAUGGUGACGAGAUAUCACUGGAGUCCUUGAAAUCGAGGGGUUUGAUCAACCCGUCUGGCAGGGAAAGGAAGCUGCCACUAAAGAUUUUAGGAGAUGGUGAUGUAUCUGUCAAGUUGAGCAUCAAGGCUGGAGCAUUCUCAGCUUCAGCUAAGGAGAAGCUCGAGGCAGCUGGUUGUACUCUGACUCUGUUGCCUAAACGGAAGAAAUGGCUUUCACAAGCUUAUCUGAAGAAUCAAGCCCGCGCAGAAGAGUACUUUGCCAAGAAAAAAGGCGGCGCUGGUGAAUCUGAUGGCGCCUCUGUGUAGAAUUCAUAUGUGCUUUAUUGUACAGGGCACACCACACGUCAUUCUAUUUGCAUUUAACAAUUCGUUGAGAUUACAUUUCAACAAAACUCAUGCAUGGAGGAUGCGUAUUUGAAGAAGUUAUGUUAAGAUGGUGGUACAAGAUGAAAGUCUAAUAUCACUGCAAAUAUUUGGACGAUAUGCAUGUCUGGAUCCUCACAGACAAAUUUGAAGUUUUGUUAGAAACAUCCUUGGACUGAUGGAUGCAGUGUACAAUGAUACUGAAAUUUCCUACGUCAGGAACUGUUUCAAACAAAGUUGUGGUAGAAGAUAGAAUACUGCGAAGUUGCUGUGUUAUAGAGAUGUCAUGAUAUCGUAUUAGACUGAUGUACACAUAUGCUUAUCAAGUAAGGUUUCCUUUGAAUGCAUGUAACAAAGUGUUCCUUUCCUUGUCAA